UUGACAAACGAGAGACUUUGGCGGUUUUGUUGUGAAUCUUCAAUAAGAAUAAGUAAAACAAUAAAACAUGCCUCCAAAACGAAAAAACGGAGCUGGCGACUCGAAAUCACAAUCCAAGAAAAGGAAGAAGGCAGCUGAGGCGGAUUCUGAUGACUCUGAUAUCGAAACUGAGGGAAAUGGAGGGACGUUUGAUUACGAGAACAAUGAAACGUCUGAUGUUGACAUUCUACUUGAAGGUUCUAUGCUGGGAGGGGAACUGCUCAUUUGUGGUGGUACCAACUGGGAUCUUAUUGGACGCAAAUCAAUUCCAAAAGGAAUGAAAAAUCGUGGUGGACCGAAUCUGUGGGCACCACAUCGUAUUGGCCCCACCAAGGACAUCAAGAUGCGAACAGUUGUGUCAAACUGUGUGUCCUGUCACAGUGUCGCAAUAUCAUCGGAAGGAAAAGUCUACACGUGGGGGCGAAAUGACAAGGGCCAGCUUGGUCUGGAAAAUACUGAUAGAAUGGACGUCCCAAGCCUGGUGGAAGGUCUUAGUGGGAUGAACGUUGUCGACGCAGCCUGUGGACGAAAUCACACCUUGUUCUUAACAGACCGAGGAAAAGUGUUUGCCUGUGGUGAUAACAAAAUGGGUCAGCUAGGCUUAGGUCAUCAGAGUCCAUUUGUGGCAACCCCAACCAGAGUACACUACAAAGGUCCUCCAAUCCGGAAAGUGCGAUGUGGUGGUGAGUUUAGCACAAUGUCUGAUAUCCGUGGCAACAUGUACACAUUUGGAUGUCCAGAAUACGGACAACUAGGUCACAAUACUGAUGGUAAAUUCUUUGUGACGAGUAACAAGCUAUCCUUCAAGUGUGAACUGGUUCCCCGGAAGGUGAAUGUGUGGAUUGAGAAGACUCGAGACAAUCAUGUGGUUCCGGUAACCGACGUUGAAGUGCGCGACAUUGCGUGUGGAAACAACCAUGUGUUGGUGUUAGACUCAAGGAAGCGGGUUUUCAGCUGGGGAUUCGGUGGAUAUGGACGUCUGGGCCAUGCUGCACCUAAAGAUGAAUUGGUUCCUCGCCUACUGAAGAACUUCGAAGGACCGAACAGAGGAGCCAUUCAAAUACACGCUGGGUCUGCAUUCAGCCUGGCCGUCUCCGAAAUGGGUGCCCUGUUUUUGUGGGGUCAGACCAAGUCAACUGGGGAGGCGGCCAUGUAUCCCAAGUUGGUGCAUGAUCUGCAAGGCUGGAAAGUGCGCAGUGUAGGAUGUUGCAAUAGAAGCAUUGUGGUGGCUGCAGACGAGAGCACUGUUAGCUGGGGUCCCAGUCCAACGUACGGUGAACUAGGCUAUGGUGAGAAUAAGCCUCAUUCGUCAACUGUUCCGCAGGAGGUGAAGCCUCUCAGUGGCAUUUACAUUCAGAGCAUAUCAUGCGGCUUUGCACACACAUUACUGAUCGCGCGGAACGACACAGAGGCCGAGCAGGAGAAGAUCAACGAGUUACCCGUCUUUAAUCCAUGAUCUCAUUCCUGUGGUGUCAGUAGAUAGUUUUCAUGUACGUCUUUACUCGACAAAACCAUCGUGCAUUGUAUUACCUCAUAAACGCCAAAUUUCAUCGUCAUCAAAUUUAAGGUUGGGUGGUCCGUGUUCAGUUUUUCAUAUUUCUUUUCAACAUCACCUGUCCUCAUAACUAGUGUAUAUUCCCUACAGUUAGUAGACUGGUCCGAACAUCCCAACAGCCAAUGGGAUGGCUUAACUUCUUCUACUGUGUACCCCUUCCUGUUCCAGUUACGUGACUGUAACUUCCUUGUUUUUCCUUCACGUCUUACGGUUCGUACGUUCUUAUUUUCGCUUCAUCGUAAUCUGAGCCAUUUGGUUAUUUUACUAUGGUUAUUGUGACAAUUAUGUCUGUAACACAUUCUACAAUGUUGUUACUUUAUUACUGUACAAUUAUUUUGGUUGUAAUCACUUUCUUUAAAGUGUUGUGUGAAAAUUUUCAUUUUCCUGUGUGCCGGUCAAGAUCUAUGGUCGCCAUUUUUAAAAUGGUCGCUUCUUGUUUACCGGAAUUGUACAAACUUAUGUAUUUGAUUUUUCAUUACAGUUCUUCUCGUGUGGUGCGUUCUUGUAACAAAUGCAGGAAAUUCAUGGCACGAUAUCUGUCCUGGCUGCAAAUCACCAUAUGACUUAAGAGUCUCACUGUCUCUUGUGUUACCUUGGGGCCAACAGACUUGAGGCAUAACUCACGGUCCUUGCCCAGCGGGCCAAGAAAGUUGAGAUGGUUUCUGCUUCAUCUCCUCCUCAACCGUCUAUCAUCUAGUCAGUUGGUGCAGUUUUGAAGACUUGCUGCCUAGUAUGAUAGACCAUUGCAGUCACUACUGAGUCCGGUCCAGUGGUUACGGUUUCUGCUGAUGUGACGAUUCCUGUCUCGGCUCCAGCUACGGCUACAGCUCAAGCUACGGUAUUCACGGCCUCCGUACCUACAGGUGACACGGGUUCCAGGCCAGUCCAUGGGGACUUGCCAGCCUUGACUUGGAAGUCAACGUUUUCCAGAUUCAUAGCAGAACCUCUACGGAUCACCGGAGUCGGGAACAGAGUUGAUCCUCACAGAUAAUGGCUAGUUCCAACCGAUGUCACCGUUCCAGAAGUUUGGAGAAUCAAAUGUCACAGACUUCUACCGGUCCCAUUGCAACCGUUCACGGUCUCCUUGGCCUUCCAGUAUCGGCGAUCGACAUGCCUGUGCGAAAUUGUUACGUGAUAUCCUGAUGAUACAGUGGACCGGAUGACAAUGAAAGAUUGUCUUGCUAUCUGUUUUCUGCAGAUCAGCAACCACUUACAGCUUCCGUCACGGCACUUGCUGCAACCGUGUCUACAGGCGAUACGGUACCCGUGAAUCACGGGUCUCGUGUGACUGGACUGAGACGAUCAUCUCACAGGCGGCUGACGGUCCUGUCAGGACUGCGUUCCGGAUCAUCACGACUAUUCAGCGCAAUUGUUCAGCAUGUCUGUGCACUGUUUCCAUGUGCCGCUUCCAUGGAGCUGACGGGACCAUCCAUGAUUCAAUUCGCCUCGGCCCUGCAGCAUUGACUCACUUGUUCCUGGCUUCUAAGGAUUUUUGUUUUGGUUUCCUUUAUGACAUUCUUAACCAACGGUCAUCAAGACAACUUAUGACAGCAUACCUUUUCAGCUAUAAUGCUGUCACGAUUCCGGGACUUCAGGCCACUGUUAUUUCGUGUGACCCUACUCUGUAGCUUACAGGGGAUCCGAUGAACGGCACUGAUGGUAGACUCUGGUAAUUGGUCUACGGCGACUUCCACUCAGCAAUCAGUUCAAGAUAGAAGUCGACAGUUCUCAACCUAUCAUAGCGAGAAUGCAGCUGUCACUGGUAACCCUCUCCACGUUCAUCUGCGGGUCAGUCGUCCAUGAUGUUACUCAUCAACUGUUGAUCGUCAGUUCAUCACUGUCGCUGUUAAGGUGGAAGGAAGUUAUCUUUACUUCCCACCUUCGGAUCGGUUUGCAACUCCAGCUACAGUUCAGUUACAGCUUUCGGUUACCAUAUCAACUCAGCAAGUUGCGGUAAACCUAGCUACACGGUCUUCGACAUGCCGGCGUUUGCGGGAAUGAAAAUUACAGGUGUUACGGUUUGGGACUGACGACAGUACACUGGGCCAGUCAACUUUUGAUGCUGAUUUGGAACCCCAUGCAGAAUACUUUGGACUGUUCCACUAUUCAUCUGUUGAUCAGUGACGUUGAAGAUAUUUGGUGAAUCGAUCACUGCAUCCAUUGGUGCCCAGAAGUUUGCAACUUGAUUGUCACUUUUGUUGUCUCCAGAAGUUGUCAGCGCUAGAUCCGUUGAGUUUCCACUUGGACAGCUGCCUCCUGGAAUUUCAACGGAUCGGUACAUUGGCGGCCGGCAACAAUCACUAGUUGACGUCAUGCGGCUUCGGGGUUUUACCGCAUCCAUUUUUUUACGGUCUAUUGCAGAUUAUCAAACCAUUGUCAGCGUUCAUGUACGAUACAGAGAAGAUCGUCUUUUUGCUGCUUGCCUAGUAUCAGUCAUUGGGACUGUCCUGGAUACCAACCAUCCUGGAUACCAACCGUACGAUAUUUGCUUCCACUGUCAGAUUCCUACCGGUCCUUGGGGAGAUGACUUGUGCAUCUUCGGAGUACGGAACCCUCCACCAUCUGUCAAAUGCUGCACUAAUUAUGAGGACAGGUGAUGUAUCUAUAAAAGAGAAAACACUUUUCUCCAAUUUUGUUGGUGGCCGACUGUUUCAGUAGCAGACUAAUGUUUUUACUGGGGUGCGACCUGCAUCCCUCGUUGGAAUAAAUAGCACUUCAUCUCCGACACUGGUUCGUUUCGGUGUGAUUUUGACUCAAGGGUUUUUCAAAAACGAAAGUCAGAAAUAGGGAACUAUUGCCUGAUGGGCUAAUUAUAGCACCCCCAGUUUUGUUAGGACACAAUAAUUUAAAGAAAUAAACGAAACCUGGUGCCAUACAGCAAGGCAUUGUUCUUAUUCACUUUCCCAUACAGGAUUAUUAGUAGUAUAUUAGUUUUAUGACCACAGUAUAAAACUCUUAAAAAUCCUUUACAAAACCAAAACAGUCGCAAAAAGUAAUCUUUUAACAAGUCAUGGAGUUUAGUUGACAACAAAUUGUGUGAACCUUGCUUACUGAAAGCCCUCUUUCAUAAUACUCAUAACCAUUAAUAAAAACAGUUACUGUUGUGGGACAUUCAAGCUUACUAAACUGUGCAUUAUAUCUGGAAAUGAUUUGUAACAUGAUCUUGUGUUUCAGGAGUUGUGUACAUUAUGAUGGAUAAUUUUAAUAUAGCAAGUACAAAAAGAAAUUUUGAAAAGCAGUGUUGUUGCUCCAUAAAAAAGCAUUAUUGAAUAAAUUUGAUUGUGUUGUUUAAUUGUGGGACCAAACAAGACCAAUGUGAAAUGUGCUAGCUGAAUUAUUAUGAAGCAGAUUCACCGACCGACAGUGAGAACUGGGUGAUUGUGCUGUAAACUGUAAUGCUAGUAAAAUGCUCUUUUAGCUUUUAAUUGGCAUCUGUGUAAACUGGCACAAUUUGAAAGUCAUGUCCAAUGACAGUAUUUUGGGUGAAAUGGCUCGAAUCCAACACCCUGUGUAUUUCCGCACCCUUCGUAGGUUCCUCUUUCCAUUCAGACAAGAGUCCACUGUAUAUUUGGAAUUAUGAAAUAAUGCGGAUUCAGUGAAAAAAGCUAAUAGAAUGUUCCAGUCUGAAGUUAUUUGCAUGAUAAUCACUGUUCUGUUUGUAUAUAUGUCAUCCUUUUAACUAUCAAAUACUUUCUUAUUGUUUUUCCAAGUGAAUAUUAAAUAUUAACUGUUGUAUUAGGUGCCUUUUUUAGUGGAAAAGUGAAUGUCAUUUUAUUAAGACGUAUUUCUAAUAUCAUUUUGCAUUGUGUAUUUUUGAGGGUUUACCAUCCAUACUGGUUUUGAAUACAUCACUGUGACCGCUUACUAAACCUGAAACUGUCUGUAACAGCAGCUGAAUGAAAUCAAAACCAAUAGUGUUACGGUUUGUCAUCUUUCACAAACAUAUUUACUGUAGCAGUAAAUUCUAGCAGUAGCAACAUUACUUUUGAUAUAGGUGUUGAUUUGUUCAGCAUAUCAGUGUUGGGAACGACUAGCUGAAAGUGUUUUACAGAUGGCAGUGAUGUGAUCUUAUUUCAUGUCUUGUUACGCGGGACAUUUUGCUUUGUAAACAAAAAGUUUAUUUUGUUUAACAACGCUACUAGAGCACAUCAGCUAUUGGAUGUCGGACAUUUGGUAAUCCUGACAGUCUCAGAGGAAACCUGCUAUAUUUUCCCGUUAAAAGCAAGGGGUCUCUUGUAUGCACUUUCCUACAGACAGGACAGUACAUACCAUGAUCAGUUGUAGGGCACUGGUUGAAAUGAGGAAAACCCAGUCAGGGAGGUGAGCAGGUCAUCCUAGGACCCCAGCACCUCACAAGCUGUACUGACAGCUAGAUCCUCCUUGUCUCUCGUAUUGUAACAUUUAACGACAUCACUAGAGUGCAUUGAUUUAUCCGACUGACAGGAUAGCAAAUACUACAGCCUUUGAUAUACCAGUUGUGGUGCACUGGCUGGAACGAGAAAUAGCCCAAUUUCACCAAUUGAUCCCAAGUUGACCGCAUAUCAAGCAAGCACUUGACCACUGGGUUACAUCCCGCCCUUGCAUUGUAACAAAUGCUGUUGUAUAAAUGUAAAAGUUUGCUGGUUUUGACUUUUAUUCACAACUUAAUUUUCUUUCUUUUUAUUUUAUUAAGUUAAUGAUAUUAUUCCUCCCCAAUGCAGAUUUUGAUAAAAAAGUUACAUUGACAGAGUUAACCAAUCCUAAUAUGUGUACCUGUAUCCCAACGUGUGGGACCUCAAGAACUGGGAGGUUUUGCAAGAUCGAAUAUUUAAAAAAUAGUUAUUAAAAUGGUGUUCAGAUUAUUUUUAAACUGUACAGUUUUCCCACAUUUUCCUUAAAUACAGAAGCAAAGAUUUAAAAUAGUACAUGUAUCUUGAUGAGGAUAAUGUAUUUUACUUUGUGUUACAAAUUAUUUUAUAGAAAUAGACUUGGGUAUAAUGCAGCAUAAUACAUGCUUUGUUCUAACAUACCAUUGCAUCAUCAACUGGGUUCAUAUAUUCGAAACUCUCAGCACUACGAUAUCAUAAAACCGUCAUAAGUUAUGGCUAGUAUAGUAAUGAAGACGUAUCUUAUAACGGUUUUACAAUAUUGUAGUGGAAAGAUAGCUUUAAAAAAAAAUGUAUCCAGGCUGGUAGCUAGUUGAUUUGCAUCCCAGUACUAGCUAAAACCCUGAGUGAGUUUUCACAGCUCAGUGGGGAGGUGUACGGCCAUGACGACCAUUUCUCCACCAGUAACUAACCAAUGACCCCUGGACAGAUAGCCAUUAUAAGCCCACCAAUAACUAACCAAUGAUCCCCGGACAGAUAGCACAGUUAUAAGCCUACCAAUAACUAACCAAUGAUCCCCGGACGGAUAGCCCAGUUGUAAGCUCACCAAUAAUCAACCAAUGAUCAACCAAUGAUCCCCGGACAGAUAGCCGUUAUAAGCCUACCAAUAAUUAACUAAUGAUUCCCAGACAGAUAGCACAUUUGUACGCCCACCAAUAACCAACCAAUGAUCCCGGACAGAUAGCACAGUUGUAAGCCCACCAAUAACCAACCAAUAACCAACCAAUGAUCCCGGACAGAUAGCAGUUGUAAGCCCACUAAUAACUAACCAAUGAUCCCCGGACAGAUAGCACAUUUGUACGCCCACCAAUAACCAACCAAUGAUCCCGGACAGAUAGCAGUUGUAAGCCCACUAAUAACUAACCAAUGAUCCCCGGACAGAUAGCACAGUUGUAAGCCCACCAUUAACCAACCAAUGAUCCCAGGACGAAUAGCCCAGUUGUAAGCCCACUAAUAAUCAACCAAUGAUCCCCGGACAGAUAGCACAGUUGUAAGCCCAGCAAUAACCAACCAAUGAUCCCCGGACGGAUAGCCCAGUUGUAAGCCCACUAAUAAUCGACCAAUGAUCCCCGGACAGAUAGCCGUUAUAAGCCCACCAAUAACUAAUGAUCCCCAGACAGAUAGCACAUUUGUAAGCCCACCAAUAACCAACCAAUGAUCCCCGGACAGACAGAUAGCAGUUGUAAGCCCACUAAUAACUAACCAAUGAUCCGCAGACAGAUAGCACAGUUGUAAGCCCACCAAUAAUUAACUAAUGAUCCCCAGACAGAUAGCACAUUUGUAAGCCCACCAAUAACUAACUAAUGAUCCCCGGACAGAUAGCAGCCCACUAAUAACUAACCAAUGAUCCCCGGACAGAUAGCACAGUUAUAAGCCCACCAAUAAAUAACCAAUGAUCCCCGGACGGAUAGCCCAGUUGUAAACCCACCAAUAAUCAACCAAUGAUCCCCGGACAGAUAGCCGUUAUAAGCACAUCAAUAACUAACUAAUGAUCCCCGGACAGAUAGCACUGUUGUAAGCCCACUAAUAACUAACCAAUGAUCCCCGGACAGAUAGCACAUUUGUAAGCCCAGCACAGCUUUACUGUAAGCAAGCAAGCAUGCAUUGAAUUGUUGAGCACUACGGUGAGGAAGACCAACAGGUAUAUAUUUUUAUGUUUAGCCAUCAGAAUGUUUGAAUAUCGUACACACGCAGUCGCUAAUCUAGGUCACAAAACUGUAUAAAUAUGCUACUAACACCGGAAUCCGGCUCCUCUGUUUAGUGUAACAGUAUGUUUGUGUUUUCUACAGCUGAGACUCGUUUUAUCAAGACUGUUAUCUAUGCAUGUUAGUAACGGUAGUAAAACAGUAGUAAAAACAAUCUAGUGAGGCAGUUGUUUUUACUCUGCUUUAGGAAACGAUGUGCAAUGGGCAGGAAAGAGCAGAUGUAAGUAACAUCCUGUAGUGAAAUAAUUAAGAAUAUUUCAAUAUGGACAAUUCAGAUAUUAUAUAAGGCUAUUUUAGUCAAAAUUAGAGAUGUCUCCCUCCUUUAUGGGUUGGAACAUGCACCCUCCACAAGAAAUAUGUAACACUCAUUACAGCAUUUCAUCUUGAUUUAUAAUUGUUUUGUGUGUAUACAUUAAGCUAUAACAAGCUAUUUCGGUGUCCCUCAACUCCUGAGCAUUACUUAACUCUUGAAUGGUCUCUAUACUGUUUGUAUUCAAUUUAGAUUCAAGAAAGACGAUGCAGUAGUUUGCAUAUCAAAAUAAACCAGUCUACAGAGUCUAGUCCCAAUGAAAUCGGACCUCACACAAGAAAGAUAAACUUUACUACGUGUAUAUGGAUGUAAAAUAAUCAAUUAGUGUUUUUGUUCAUUUUAGUAUUAUUCUGUUCAUGUUAGACUAUAAUUCAUUAGUGCACAUAAUUUCUCUUUGGUGUUUUAACAUGACUUAUAUACUACAUGUAAGUACUGUUUGUAUUCGAUGUUCGAAUAUACCAAAUGUACUAGAUGCAAUUGUUUGCAAUAAAGUUUGGUGCAUUGUA
Molecule: unclassified non-coding RNA, 8981 nt
Filed under: Gigantopelta aegis
Lineage: Eukaryota; Metazoa; Mollusca; Gastropoda; Neomphalida; Peltospiridae
Description: protein RCC2-like, transcript variant X1
Source: RNAcentral